Long non-coding RNA from Pogonomyrmex barbatus (red harvester ant), 255 nucleotides. The record is from RefSeq and is a predicted model, not a curated record. Lineage: Eukaryota; Metazoa; Arthropoda; Insecta; Hymenoptera; Formicidae.
ACGUAUAUAUAUAUAUAAAUAUAAUACACAUUUAGGUAUACAUAUAUAUUUCUUUGGAUCACGCGGCAUAAAUGCAUAUUUACAAAAUUCAAUAGAUCAGAUGUGCAUAUUAAGUACAAAUGGCACGAUAAAUAUAACUUAAUUAUUCAAAAUGCUUCACUAUGUCGCAUUACUUAAAAAAAAUGGAAUAAAAAAAAGUUAUAAUGAAAAUAUAUUUGUUAAAAGAGUAAGAUGAUUUUUUACGAUGUGUAUCCA